This 199-nucleotide long non-coding RNA is filed under the name Prunus persica (peach). RNAcentral's name for it is "long non-coding RNA (PPER_LNC001790)". Lineage: Eukaryota; Viridiplantae; Streptophyta; Magnoliopsida; Rosales; Rosaceae. The record is from RNAcentral.
CAUUAGUGAUUUUUUGAAUCAUUUAUUACCUUGGCCAAUGGCACAAAACCACACUUGUGCUUGAAGAAUUUAUUAAAAAAAUAAAAUUGGAAAGCCAAGAAAAUAUAAUUAAAAAAAUAUGACAUUAAAUUGAAUAAAACGACAAUUAGAAAUUUGUAACCUCAUCGCCAAUAUUUUCACCACUUCAAACCAUUUCCCU